RNAcentral lists this ribosomal RNA (442 nucleotides) under uncultured bacterium. Its description in RNAcentral is "partial 16S ribosomal RNA". It matches the Rfam family "Bacterial small subunit ribosomal RNA", at positions 338 to 795 of the family's 1533-position model. The record is from RNAcentral.
CCUACGGGAGGCAGCAGUGGGGAAUAUUGGGCAAUGGGCGCAAGCCUGACCCAGCAAUGCCGCGUGAAGGAAGAAGGCUUUCGGGUUGUAAACUUCUUUGACAGGGGAAGAGCAGAAGACGGUACCCUGAAAACAAGCCACGGCUAACUACGUGCCAGCAGCCGCGGUAAUACGUAGGUGGCAAGCGUUGUCCGGAUUUACUGGGUGUAAAGGGCGUGUAGCCGGGAAGGCAAGUCAGAUGUGAAAUCUGGAGGCUCAACCUCCAAAUUGCAUUUGAAACUGUUUUUCUUGAGUACUGGAGAGGCAGACGGAAGUCCUGGUGUAGCGGGGAAAUGCGUAGAUAUAAGGAGGAACACGCGUGGUGAAGGCGGUCGGCUGGACAGCAACUGACGGUGAGGCGCGAAGGCGUGGGGAGCAAACAGGAUUAGAUACCCUUGUAGUC